Molecule: long non-coding RNA, 627 nt
Organism: Nerophis ophidion (straightnose pipefish)
Lineage: Eukaryota; Metazoa; Chordata; Actinopteri; Syngnathiformes; Syngnathidae
Exons: 4
Source: RefSeq, a predicted model, not a curated record
UGGAGUCCAGACAGAUUCAUUUACAUUCCACGAGUGGUGAUUGCAACAACUGGGAUUAGUUGCAGAAGUUGAUGUCAGCAGUCUCACCACCCAGGAGGUCAUUUUUACACAGCAACAUACAUUCCUCCUGCAACUGUUUGUCAGAGUUCCUCCUCUGACUGCCCGUCUGGACACAACCUGGGCGUGGCACACCCACGCAGCAACAAGACUGCAGACCAUUGUGCAUCAGAGCACCUGAAUUUGACGAGAGGGAGCGGCAUAAAAGCCAGCGGACCCAGGUGACCUUCGCCAUAACGUACCCUAUCUUUAACAUGUCUGCCCUGUUGCCUGUGAUCGUGUCCUGCCUAACGACCUCCACCUGGAUCUCUGCUUGCUUCCCUCAACCCUUGACCUCUGCUUGGACUCGGACAUCGUUGCCUCUCUCCAGCCCCCGACUGUCUGCCUCCAUACUGACUGCCUCUUCGCCUUGCCCCUUGGAUUCGACGAAAGAUUCACACAACACGGACCAACAACAACCCCUGGUAAAACUUACAUUGUUAAUUCUACACAUCGUCCGCACUCAUUCACUUGUGGUAGCAUACACACCCCACACACUCAUCAAGGUUUCAAUAAACCUGAUAAACCGCA